GCAGCAGGCGCGCAAAUUACCCACUCCCGGCACGGGGAGGUAGUGACGAAAAAUAACGAUACGGGACUCAUCCGAGGCCCCGUAAUCGGAAUGAGUACACUCUAAACCCUUUAACGAGUAUCCAUUGGAGGGCAAGUCUGGUGCCAGCAGCCGCGGUAAUUCCAGCUCCAAUAGCGUAUAUUAAAGUUGUUGCGGUUAAAAAGCUCGUAGUUGGACUUGUGUCCCACGCUGUCGGUUCACCGUUCGUCGGUGUUUAACUGGCAUGCCCGUGCGGACGUCCUGCCGGUGGAUGCGGUCGGCCGUGGGCCUUUGGUCUGCGUGUCGGCGGUCCGAUGCAAUCCUACCGCGGUGCUCUUCACCGAGUGUCGAGGUGGGCCGGCACGUUUACUUUGAACAAAUUAGAGUGCUCAAAGCAGGCAGUGGUUCGCCUGAAUAUUGUGUGCAUGGAAUAAUGGAAUAGGACCUCGGUUCUAUUUUGUUGGUUUUCGGAACCUGAGGUAAUGAUUAAUAGGGACAGACGGGGGCAUUCGUAUUGCGACGUUAGAGGUGAAAUUCUUGGAUCGUCGCAAGACGAACCUAAGCGAAAGCAUUUGCCAUGAGUGUUUUCAUUAAUCAAGAACGAAAGUUAGAGGUUCGAAGGCGAUCAGAUACCGCCCUAGUUCUAACCAUAAACGAUGCCAGCUAGCGAUCCGCCGAAGUUCCUCCGAUGACUCGGCGGGCAGCUUCCGGGAAACCAAAGCUUUUGGGUUCCGGGGGAAGUAUGGUUGCAAAGCUGAAACUUAAAGGAAUUGACGGAAGGGCACCACCAGGAGUGGAGCCUGCGGCUUAAUUUGACUCAACACGGCGAAACCUCACCAGGCCCGGACACCGGAAGGAUUGACAGAUUGAUAGCUCUUUCUUGAUUCGGUGGGUGGUGGUGCAUGG
Molecule: ribosomal RNA, 924 nt
Filed under: Candovia peridromes
Lineage: Eukaryota; Metazoa; Arthropoda; Insecta; Phasmatodea; Lonchodidae
Description: SSU rRNA
Rfam family: Eukaryotic small subunit ribosomal RNA
Source: RNAcentral